This is a non-coding RNA of Camellia sinensis, 2128 nucleotides long. The record is from RefSeq and is a predicted model, not a curated record. NCBI's taxonomy places the organism in Eukaryota, Viridiplantae, Streptophyta, Magnoliopsida, Ericales, Theaceae.
AUCUCACUCCAUCCACGCUUCGUCCUUUGCCGAGCUCGAACAGAGCUUAACACAAACACUUGGAAUACAAAAACCGAGUCAGAAUUUGAAGCUUCAAACGAUUCAACCGACCAAUUCGAUCUCCAUUGUCAAUCUCUUCGUCGAAACCAGCCACGGUUCGCAUCAAAUCUCGAAGAUCUCAACUACUGGUUGUUCGAUUCAAUGAAGUUGAAGAUCAACAAAGCCUGCGAUCUUAGCUCCAUUUCAGUUCUUCCUCCUCACGCAAGGAGAUCGAGCAAUGUACAGAGUGGUCCUGAGUCCUUGGUGUUUGGAAAAAACCAAGCGUCUCAGCUUCGUUCGCAGCCAUCGCAACAGUCAUUUUCGCAGGGAGUUUCGUCUCAACAUGGAACGUUUUCUCAGCUCUCGCAGAAUUCUCUCGACGAGUUCGUCACAAACGAUCGGAGGAUUGGUUCUCAAGAAAGAGAGAACUCAGCAAAGAAGAUGUCUUGCUUGCCUGCUAUCAGCUACACGCGAGAAGAGAGUCAAAUGCCAAUCUCAAGGUCUUCCAACAAUCUGAUGCGCAAAUGGAACUCUACUGCUGCUCCAGAUCACAGAAGUCAGGUAAGUGAAGAACUAGAACGCAGAAUUGGAAUUAUGGAAACUUCAUUGAACAGGUUUGGAAUGAUCUUGGAUUCUGUUCAGAGCGAUAUCAUGCAAGUAAACAAGGGAACGAAGGAAGUAUUAAUGGAGAUGGAAGUCUUACAGCAGAAGUUGAUUGCUAAUGAUAACUUGGCGCAGCUAAUAAACAAGGGACAAGAAGAUAUCAAAACUAACCUAGUAGGGGGAUUAAAAUCUCUCUCUGAUCAAGUCAGACAGGACAUAUACCAAGCAAGGCUACAGGAGAUUUCUUCAGUGAUAUCAGCUUUACCAGAGCAGAUUAACGAGUGUUUACAAAAAUUGAAAUCUGAGCUCUGCAAGUCUGUCACCCAAGAAAUGCAGGCAAUGGUUUGCAGCUUGAAGAUUCCUAGCCAAAACCAUCGAACUCCCACCGUUCUUCCAGCAAAGGGCAUAAGCUGUCAAGCUACUCCACAGCAAAAACCAUCUCUCAAGAACCCCGAAGUACAUCCAAAGGUUUAUGGGAAAGCAACUCUGGUUCCAAAGAUAGAAUUGGGAAGGUGGACCUCUGUCAAAACAGAUCAAGCUUUUUUUAAAUAUGUGGGCCCUAGUAAGGAGCAUAAACAGAAGAGACCAACUCCCAUUGAACUGGAGAGAGAAUGGAGAAUUCCUAUUGAAUCUGAUGAGGAGAUAGAUAGCGGGUUUUCUUGCUUGCUUGAAGAAAAGGAAACAGGUAACUAUUCAAUGGCGGAUGCUAAGGAAGAGAGUGAAAGGAUUCUGAGGAAAGCAAGGAGGAGAAAGAGAAAACACAGUAACAUCAUAAUUUUGGAUUGAAGGAAGGAGAUCAAAGAUCAAGACACCAAGGGAGGUCUGAAUUUUCAAUGAUUAGCAAACUCAUUUUUCUAUUAUGUAUCUGCAACAGGCUGGUUGUGGGCUUUGGGAGUCUUUUCAAGGCAUGGAGUGUCCAAAAGAGUGAGCAUCCAAUGCUUAAAGAGAGUUGUUCAAAGUGGGAAGGAAUAUUCAAUGCCCCUUCCCUUAGAGAUAUUAGCCCACCCACCUUUAAUUGUCAAGAAAAAGUUAAAGUUGCCACUUGCCACAUAUGAGUUACCAAAGUUGAGUUUGUUUUCAUCCUCAAGUCCAUAUAUAUAUUUGCAAGAAUAAAAUAAAGCAAAUUAAAAAGAAAAAAGAAAAAAAAGAACACACGUUUUGAUGAAAAUACAAAAUUUCCUUAUUUCAAAAAUUAUACAAAAAGAAAAAAAAUUCUAAGGUUUGAUGUCAAAUCACAUUUAACCAUAUAUCGUUAAACAUUCGUUAAAAUUAGGAUAAAAGUAAAACAGCACUCAAUGUCAAAAUUUAGAAAAUGUCACUAAAAAUGCUAAUGUAGCUUUGGAUAAAAAAUUCUAUUGGCCUAGAAAAAUUGACCUAGAUUUUUAUGCAUAAUGUAUUUGUGUGGUAUAAAUUGAAUUAGUGUAAUGUAGGGUUCAAAUAUGGAAUGAAUAUGAAUCAUAAAUUUGUAUUCUUGAAUAAAAUUUGG